Molecule: small RNA, 911 nt
Filed under: Malus domestica (apple)
Lineage: Eukaryota; Viridiplantae; Streptophyta; Magnoliopsida; Rosales; Rosaceae
Description: sRNA MD03G0166400
Source: RNAcentral
AUUGUCCAUAUGUCUUAAAUAUGAAAAAACAUUUAUAUUUCGUCCACAAUGUCUUUUUUUCCACACUGUUCGACGUUUCAUUUUCAAUAAUUGAAUUUAAGAAGAACACAAAAACUACGCGGUUCACGGAUUCACAGCAGACACCAUUUAUUGAUACAACUGCAUGAACACAUUUCUUUAUACAACCCAGAUCCCCAACACGAAUAACAAAACAAAACCCAGAAACAAAAAAGAAAAAUCAGAUGGUUCGAGAUUAGUAAUUCGGUACAAACAAACACAGAUUCGAGAUCAGACACCCCAAAACCCCAAUUUUAAACAUUUUGGAUCCGAACUCGAAUCAAUCAUUUGGGACCGUGAGGGGCAAAGUUGAGCAAUUGCUUGGAACGGAGCCACGGCUUCACCACCACCUCGGAAUCGAACAACCUGUGAACCCCAUUCCUCACCGCCGACACCUUGAGGUAGUACUUGAUCCCGGAAACCACCUGGCUCUGCGCCUCCACCACCUCCAAGAACUGAAGCUCUCCGCCGCCGUCCAUCUUCUGGGUACCCCUCUGCCUGUUAUACUCCUCUACCGAAAACCUCCCCAACUCUUGAACCUCCUUGUUCGUCUUCACGUUCUCGAUCUCCUUCCUUCCUCCGACCAUGCCGCCGUACCCAUUCGACGCGACGAAGAGGAGGCAGAUCAGGAGGGCAAAAAUCGGAACUUUCAUCAUGAUUUUGUAUUGUUUGUUGGAAAUCAGGAAAUUGAUUCGACUUUGUUAGUGGUUUUUCUGGGUUUUCAAAAUUUGCUGCGGAUGAGGAUUGAAAUUGAUGGGUUUUGGCAGAAUCUGGUGGGUCUUGUAGUUGUAGGACUUAUCUUUCUGGGGGUAGAUCGUGGAGGAAAUAGAGGGCGUUUGGACACGCAAAUUAAG